This 2920-nucleotide ribosomal RNA is filed under the name Klebsiella pneumoniae. RNAcentral describes it as "bacterial LSU rRNA". It matches the Rfam family "Bacterial large subunit ribosomal RNA". Lineage: Bacteria; Pseudomonadati; Pseudomonadota; Gammaproteobacteria; Enterobacterales; Enterobacteriaceae. The record is from RNAcentral.
GGGUUGUGAGGUUAAGCGACUAAGCGUACACGGUGGAUGCCCUGGCAGUCAGAGGCGAUGAAGGACGUGCUAAUCUGCGAAAAGCGUCGGUAAGGUGAUAUGAACCGUUACAGCCGGCGAUGUCCGAAUGGGGAAACCCAGUGCAAUUCGUUGCACUAUCGUUAACUGAAUACAUAGGUUAACGAGGCGAACCGGGGGAACUGAAACAUCUAAGUACCCCGAGGAAAAGAAAUCAACCGAGAUUCCCCCAGUAGCGGCGAGCGAACGGGGAGCAGCCCAGAGUCUGAAUCAGCUUGUGUGUUAGUGGAACGGUCUGGAAAGUCCGACGGUACAGGGUGAUAGUCCCGUACACCAAAAUGCACAGGUUGUGAACUCGAAGAGUAGGGCGGGACACGUGGUAUCCUGUCUGAAUAUGGGGGGACCAUCCUCCAAGGCUAAAUACUCCUGACUGACCGAUAGUGAACCAGUACCGUGAGGGAAAGGCGAAAAGAACCCCGGCGAGGGGAGUGAAAAAGAACCUGAAACCGUGUACGUACAAGCAGUGGGAGCACCUUCGGGUGUGACUGCGUACCUUUUGUAUAAUGGGUCAGCGACUUAUAUUCUGUAGCAAGGUUAACCGUAUAGGGGAGCCGCAGGGAAACCGAGUCUUAACUGGGCGUUAAGUUGCAGGGUAUAGACCCGAAACCCGGUGAUCUAGCCAUGGGCAGGUUGAAGGUUGGGUAACACUAACUGGAGGACCGAACCGACUAAUGUUGAAAAAUUAGCGGAUGACUUGUGGCUGGGGGUGAAAGGCCAAUCAAACCGGGAGAUAGCUGGUUCUCCCCGAAAGCUAUUUAGGUAGCGCCUCGUGAACUCAUCUUCGGGGGUAGAGCACUGUUUCGGCUAGGGGUCAUCCCGACUUACCAACCCGAUGCAAACUACGAAUACCGAAGAAUGUUAUCACGGGAGACACACGGCGGGUGCUAACGUCCGUCGUGAAGAGGGAAACAACCCAGACCGCCAGCUAAGGUCCCAAAGUCAUGGUUAAGUGGGAAACGAUGUGGGAAGGCACAGACAGCCAGGAUGUUGGCUUAGAAGCAGCCAUCAUUUAAAGAAAGCGUAAUAGCUCACUGGUCGAGUCGGCCUGCGCGGAAGAUGUAACGGGGCUAAACCAUGCACCGAAGCUGCGGCAGCGACACUAUGUGUUGUUGGGUAGGGGAGCGUUCUGUAAGCCUGCGAAGGUGUGCUGUGAGGCAUGCUGGAGGUAUCAGAAGUGCGAAUGCUGACAUAAGUAACGAUAAAGCGGGUGAAAAGCCCGCUCGCCGGAAGACCAAGGGUUCCUGUCCAACGUUAAUCGGGGCAGGGUGAGUCGACCCCUAAGGCGAGGCCGAAAGGCGUAGUCGAUGGGAAACAGGUUAAUAUUCCUGUACUUGGUGUUACUGCGAAGGGGGACGGAGAAGGCUAUGUUAGCCGGGCGACGGUUGUCCCGGUUUAAGCAUGUAGGCUGGUUAUCCAGGCAAAUCCGGAUAAUCAAGGCUGAGGUGUGAUGACGAGGCACUACGGUGCUGAAGUAACAAAUGCCCUGCUUCCAGGAAAAGCCUCUAAGCAUCAGGUAACAUCAAAUCGUACCCCAAACCGACACAGGUGGUCAGGUAGAGAAUACCAAGGCGCUUGAGAGAACUCGGGUGAAGGAACUAGGCAAAAUGGUGCCGUAACUUCGGGAGAAGGCACGCUGGUGUGUAGGUGAAGUCCCUGCGGAUGGAGCUGAGACCAGUCGAAGAUACCAGCUGGCUGCAACUGUUUAUUAAAAACACAGCACUGUGCAAACACGAAAGUGGACGUAUACGGUGUGACGCCUGCCCGGUGCCGGAAGGUUAAUUGAUGGGGUUAUCCGUAAGGAGAAGCUCUUGAUCGAAGCCCCGGUAAACGGCGGCCGUAACUAUAACGGUCCUAAGGUAGCGAAAUUCCUUGUCGGGUAAGUUCCGACCUGCACGAAUGGCGUAAUGAUGGCCAGGCUGUCUCCACCCGAGACUCAGUGAAAUUGAACUCGCUGUGAAGAUGCAGUGUACCCGCGGCAAGACGGAAAGACCCCGUGAACCUUUACUAUAGCUUGACACUGAACAUUGAGCCUUGAUGUGUAGGAUAGGUGGGAGGCUUUGAAGCGUGGACGCCAGUCUGCGUGGAGCCAACCUUGAAAUACCACCCUUUAAUGUUUGAUGUUCUAACGUUGGCCCCUGACCGGGGUUGCGGACAGUGUCUGGUGGGUAGUUUGACUGGGGCGGUCUCCUCCCAAAGCGUAACGGAGGAGCACGAAGGUUAGCUAAUCCUGGUCGGACAUCAGGAGGUUAGUGCAAUGGCAUAAGCUAGCUUGACUGCGAGCGUGACGGCGCGAGCAGGUGCGAAAGCAGGUCAUAGUGAUCCGGUGGUUCUGAAUGGAAGGGCCAUCGCUCAACGGAUAAAAGGUACUCCGGGGAUAACAGGCUGAUACCGCCCAAGAGUUCAUAUCGACGGCGGUGUUUGGCACCUCGAUGUCGGCUCAUCACAUCCUGGGGCUGAAGUAGGUCCCAAGGGUAUGGCUGUUCGCCAUUUAAAGUGGUACGCGAGCUGGGUUUAGAACGUCGUGAGACAGUUCGGUCCCUAUCUGCCGUGGGCGCUGGAGAAUUGAGGGGGCUGCUCCUAGUACGAGAGGACCGGAGUGGACGCAUCACUGGUGUUCGGGUUGUCAUGCCAAUGGCACUGCCCGGUAGCUAAAUGCGGAAGAGAUAAGUGCUGAAAGCAUCUAAGCACGAAACUUGCCCCGAGAUGAGUUCUCCCUGAGACUAUAAGUCUCCUGAAGGAACGUUAAAGACGAUGACGUUGAUAGGCCGGGUGUGUAAGCGCAGCGAUGCGUUGAGCUAACCGGUACUAAUGAACCGUGAGGCUUAACCUUACAACGCCGAAG